Homalodisca vitripennis (glassy-winged sharpshooter) is the source of this 1504-nucleotide RNA transcript. It is a transcript of the gene named tubulin alpha-1 chain-like, with no coding region annotated. The transcript has 3 exons. The record is from RefSeq and is a predicted model, not a curated record. NCBI's taxonomy places the organism in Eukaryota, Metazoa, Arthropoda, Insecta, Hemiptera, Cicadellidae.
UGUAUUUUUCAGCGUGAGUGCAUCUCUAUCCACGUUGGCCAAGCUGGAGUCCAGAUCGGUAAUGCCUGUUGGGAACUUUACUGCCUGGAACAUGGAAUCCAGCCCGAUGGUCAGAUGCCAUCUGACAAGACCAUCGGCGGUGGUGAUGACAGUUUCAACACCUUCUUCAGUGAGACUGGUGCCGGCAAACACGUUCCUAGGGCAGUCUUUGUUGACUUGGAGCCCACAGUAGUGGAUGAGGUACGAACUGGCACAUACAGACAGCUGUUCCACCCUGAACAGCUUAUUACUGGCAAGGAAGAUGCGGCAAACAACUACGCUCGAGGCCCACUACACCAUUGGAAAGGAAAUUGUCGAUUUAGUACUGGACAGGAUCAGGAAAGUUGGCCGACCAAUGCACAGGACUUCAGGGUUUCCUAAUCUUUCACUCUUUUGGUGGUGGCACUGGCUCAGGAUUCACAUCACUGCUCAUGGAAAGACUGUCUGUUGACUACGGAAAGAAGAGCAAGCUCGAAUUCGCCAUUUACCCUGCCCCUCAGGUAUCUACUGCUGUUGUUGAGCCUUACAACUCCAUUCUUACCACCCACACCACACUGGAACACUCUGACUGUGCCUUCAUGGUUGACAACGAAGCCAUCUACGACAUCUGCCGCCGUAAUCUGGACAUCGAACGCCCCACCUACACCAAUCUGAACCGUCUCAUUGGCCAGAUCGUAUCUUCCAUCACAGCUUCCCUGAGGUUUGACGGUGCCCUCAAUGUCGAUCUUACUGAAUUCCAAACCAACUUGGUGCCUUACCCUCGCAUUCACUUCCCUCUGGUGACCUACGCUCCCGUGAUUUCCGCCGAGAAGGCUUACCACGAGCAGCUUUCCGUCGCUGAGAUUACCAACGCGUGCUUCGAACCGGCCAACCAGAUGGUUAAGUGCGACCCCCGUCACGGCAAAUACAUGGCUUGCUGCAUGCUGUAUCGAGGUGAUGUGGUCCCUAAGGAUGUCAACGCUGCCAUCGCCACCAUCAAGACCAAGAGGACCAUCCAGUUCGUGGACUGGUGUCCUACUGGUUUCAAGGUCGGCAUCAACUACCAGCCUCCUACUGUUGUCCCUGGUGGUGAUCUGGCUAAAGUUCAGCGUGCCGUGUGCAUGUUGUCCAACACCACAGCAAUUGCUGAGGCAUGGGCUCGUCUUGACCAUAAAUUUGAUCUGAUGUAUGCCAAGCGAGCUUUCGUCCACUGGUACGUCGGAGAGGGUAUGGAGGAAGGAGAGUUCAGCGAGGCCCGUGAGGACUUGGCUGCUCUCGAGAAAGACUACGAAGAGGUCGGCAUGGACUCCGUUGAGGGAGAAGGCGAAGGUGCUGAAGAAUAUUAAGCUCUCCACACACUGUCAACAGAACUGCUCCACAUUUGUGCUCACAUCUUUUUCCAGUAUUUUUUCUAUAUUUUUAUACAAGUUUUUUUUACCAAAGUAUUCAGUUUACAAUUAAAAUAAUUUGAGCAGCAGCAGAUAAA